Molecule: ribosomal RNA, 428 nt
Filed under: uncultured bacterium
Lineage: Bacteria
Description: bacterial SSU rRNA
Rfam family: Bacterial small subunit ribosomal RNA
Source: RNAcentral
UUAGGAAUAUUGUGCAAUGGGGGAAACCCUGACACAGCCAUGCCGCGUGUGUGAAGAAGGCCCUAGGGUUGUAAAGCACUUUCAGUAGGGAGGAAUUAGCAAGGCUAAUACUCUUGUGAAAUGACGUUACCUACAGAAGAAGAUCCGGCUAACUCCGUGCCAGCAGCCGCGGUAAUACGGAGGGAUCGAACGUUAAUCGGAAUUACUGGGCGUAAAGCGCGCGUAGGCGGCUUGUUAAGUGGGAUGUGAAAGCCCCGGGCUCAACCUGGGAACUGCAUUCCAAACUGACAGACUUGAGUACGAUAGAGGGGGGUAGAAUUCAGAGUGUAGCGGUGAAAUGCGUAGAUAUUCUGAGGAAUACCGGUGGCGAAGGCGGCCCCCUGGAUUGAUACUGACGCUGAGGUGCGAAAGCGUGGGGAGCAAACAGG